RNAcentral lists this ribosomal RNA (380 nucleotides) under uncultured eukaryote. RNAcentral's name for it is "SSU rRNA". It matches the Rfam family "Eukaryotic small subunit ribosomal RNA", at positions 587 to 972 of the family's 1831-position model. The record is from RNAcentral.
AGCUCCAGUAGCGUAUACUAAUGUUGCUGCAGUUAAAAAGCUCGUAGUUGGAUUUCUGGUUGAUAAUGAUGGUCCGAGUGUACCUUCGGGUUCCUUGAGUAUCGUUUCUUAUCUGCCAUCCUCUUAGUAUUGUUGACUUCGGUCUUCAGUUCUGAGACUUUUACUUUGAAAAAAUUAGAGUGUUUAAAGCAAGCUUGCGCGAUGAAUACAUUAGCAUGGAAUAAUAAUAUAGGACUACGGGUUCUAUUUUGUUGGUUUCUAGACCUGAAGUAAUGAUUGAUAGGGAUAGUUGGGGGUGCUAGUAUUGAGAGGCCAGAGGUGAAAUUCUUUGAUUCUCUCAAGACUAACUUAUGCGAAAGCAUUCACCAAGGAUGUCUUCU